Molecule: long non-coding RNA, 518 nt
Filed under: Ananas comosus (pineapple)
Lineage: Eukaryota; Viridiplantae; Streptophyta; Magnoliopsida; Poales; Bromeliaceae
Description: long non-coding RNA (ACOM_LNC033331)
Source: RNAcentral
AGUCCAAAACCCAUUUGGGCCCACUAUCUAAGCCCAUUAUCCAAAACUCAUUAAAACCAUGAACCAUAAACCCAUGAACCAUAUCUAAGUUCAUGAACCAUAAUCCCAUAUACCCAAUACCAUAAACCUUGUGAACCAAACCCAAACCUUCGACCGAAACGUCGUUAAACUAAACCUAAAUUCGGUAUCGACCGAAACGUCGUUAAACUAAUCCACCAAAUCAACCGACCGAAACGUCGUUAAACUAAACCUAAAUCCGAUAUCGACCGAAAAGUCGUUAAACUAAACUCAAGUUCAAUUUUCACGAACAUCCCACAAUUCCCAAAAUAUUCGAUUAUCUAGCAUAUAAAACUAGAGUCAAAUCACAAUCAUGUUCAAACUUGAUCAAAUUCUAAACCUAUAUUUAGAAUUGAUCAAACCAUAUGAUCAAAUUAAUUUGUUGGAUUUCAAUACAUAUACUUGGAGUUUAAUUUAAAUCAAAUCUGACUAAUCCUAAUACAUAUAAUUAGGAUUUAGUU